AGAGUUUGAUCCUGGCUCAGGACGAACGCUGGCGGUGUGCUUCACACAUGCAAGUCGAACGGGGUAGCAAUACCUAGUGGCGGACGGGUGAGUAACGCGUGGGAAUCUGCCCAAGGGUGGGGGAUAGCAGACCGAAAGGUCUAUUAAUACCGCAUAUGCCGUGAGGUAAAAGGAGUAAUCCGCCCCUGGAUGAGCCUGCG
This 200-nucleotide ribosomal RNA is filed under the name uncultured bacterium. RNAcentral describes it as "partial 16S ribosomal RNA". It matches the Rfam family "Bacterial small subunit ribosomal RNA", at positions 8 to 235 of the family's 1533-position model. The record is from RNAcentral.